CCCUGGUUCUCUCAGUUGGUAGAGCGCUCCACCUGUAAUGGAGAGGUCCCAGGUUCGAUACCCGGACCAGGCG
Non-coding RNA from Ixodes scapularis (black-legged tick), 73 nucleotides. The record is from Rfam. NCBI's taxonomy places the organism in Eukaryota, Metazoa, Arthropoda, Arachnida, Ixodida, Ixodidae.